RNAcentral lists this ribosomal RNA (469 nucleotides) under uncultured bacterium. RNAcentral's name for it is "partial 16S ribosomal RNA". It matches the Rfam family "Bacterial small subunit ribosomal RNA", at positions 28 to 507 of the family's 1533-position model. The record is from RNAcentral.
GACGAACGCUGGCGGCGUGCUUAACACAUGCAAGUCGAACGGAAAGGCCCUGCUUGCUGGGUGCUCGAGUGGCGAACGGGUGAGUAACACGUGGGUGCUCUGCCCCUUACUUUGGGAUAAGCCUGGGCAACUGGGUCUAAUACUGGAUAGGACCAUGCUGCAGGUGGUGUGGUGGAAAGAUUAGUUUCGGUAAGGGAUGAGCUCGCGGCCUAUCAGCUUGUUGGUGGGGUAAUGGCCUACCAAGGCGUCGACGGGUAGCCGGCCUGAGAGGGUGGACGGCCACAUUGGGACUGAGACACGGCCCAGACGCCUACGGGAGGCAGCAGUGGGGAAUAGUGCACAAUGGGCGCAAGCCGGAUGCAGCGACGCCGCGUGGGGGAUGACGGCCUUCGGGUUGUAAACUACUUUCGGCCAUGACGAAGCCCUUGUGGUGACGGUAGUGGUAGAAGAAGCACCGGCUAACUACGUG